This 216-nucleotide unclassified non-coding RNA is filed under the name Hevea brasiliensis (rubber tree). The record is from RNAcentral. Lineage: Eukaryota; Viridiplantae; Streptophyta; Magnoliopsida; Malpighiales; Euphorbiaceae.
GCCCAACUCUAUAAACCAAGAAUCAUGUCAGUGUCUUAUGCGGUUAUCUAUUCUUAGAUUUGACAAAGUAAUGGAUCUAAAUCGAAUAGCUAAAAUACAAGCUCAUCUAAGAGCUGGCUUACACUCCUAUCACUAGUGCAAGAAUCCUUGACAAUGACUUCCCAUGAAUCAAAAUUGAACUUUUUCUUCCUCUUCUCCAUCUCCUCCAAAACAAAG